CAACCCUCAAGCUCAGCUUGGUGUUGGGACUCGCGGUAACCCGCGUUCCCCAAAUCGAUUGGCGGUCACGUCGAGCUUCCAUAGCGUAGUAAUCAUACACCUCGUUACUGGUAAUCGUCGCGGCCACGCCGUUAAACCCCCCAAUUUUCCAAA
RNAcentral lists this unclassified non-coding RNA (153 nucleotides) under Botryosphaeria dothidea. RNAcentral describes it as "sequence contains ITS2". The record is from RNAcentral. Lineage: Eukaryota; Fungi; Ascomycota; Dothideomycetes; Botryosphaeriales; Botryosphaeriaceae.